Molecule: ribosomal RNA, 405 nt
Filed under: uncultured bacterium
Lineage: Bacteria
Description: partial 16S ribosomal RNA
Rfam family: Bacterial small subunit ribosomal RNA
Source: RNAcentral
GACGAACGCUGGCGGCGUGCUUAACACAUGCAAGUCGAACGAGUGGCGGACGGGUGCGUAACACAUGGGUGACAUGCCCUGCACUUCGGGAUAAGCCUGGGUAACAGGGUCUAAUAACGGAGAGUGUGGGAUGGGCCCGCGGCCUAUCAGCUUGUUGGUGGGGUAAUGGUUACCAAGGCGCGACGGGUAGCCGGCCUGAGAGGGUGGACGGCCACAUUGGGACUGAGACACGGCCCAGACUCCUACGGUAGGCAGCAGUGGGGAAUAUUGCACAAUGGGCGCAAGCCUGAUGCAGCCAUGCCGCGUGUAUGAAGAAGGCCUUAGGGUUGUAAAGUACUUUCAGCGGGGAGGCGUUACCCGCAGAAGAAGCACCGGCUAACUCCGUGCCAGCAGCCGCGGUAAUUC